GGGCCAGUAGGUUGGUCGUGCCACCGGUACGUACUGGUCUCACUGAUUCCUCCUUCCUGAAGAACCGUAAUGCCAUUAAUUUGGUGUUGCGGGGAAACAGGACUGUUACUUUGAAAAAAUUAGGGUGUUUAAAGCAAGCUAACGCUUGAAUACAUUAGCAUGGAAUAAUGAAAUAGGACGAUCGAUCCUAUUUUGUUGGUUUCUAGGAUUGACGUA
Molecule: ribosomal RNA, 216 nt
Filed under: Glomeromycotina sp.
Lineage: Eukaryota; Fungi; Glomeromycota
Description: partial small subunit ribosomal RNA
Rfam family: Eukaryotic small subunit ribosomal RNA (bases 40-216)
Source: RNAcentral